RNAcentral lists this ribosomal RNA (467 nucleotides) under uncultured bacterium. RNAcentral's name for it is "partial 16S ribosomal RNA". It matches the Rfam family "Bacterial small subunit ribosomal RNA", at positions 28 to 506 of the family's 1533-position model. The record is from RNAcentral.
GACGAACGCUGGCGGCGUGCUUAACACAUGCAAGUCGAACGGAAAGGCCCUGCUUUUGUGGGGUGCUCGAGUGGCGAACGGGUGAGUAACACGUGAGUAACCUGCCCUUGACUUUGGGAUAACUUCAGGAAACUGGGGCUAAUACCGGAUAGGAGCUCCUGCUGCAUGGUGGGGGUUGGAAAGUUUCGGCGGUUGGGGAUGGACUCGCGGCUUAUCAGCUUGUUGGUGGGGUAGUGGCUUACCAAGGCUUUGACGGGUAGCCGGCCUGAGAGGGUGACCGGCCACAUGGGGACUGAGAUACGGCCCAGACUCCUACGGGAGGCAACAGUGGGGAAUAUUGCACAAUGGGCGGAAGCCUGAUGCAGCAACGCCGCGUGCGGGAUGACGGCCUUCGGGUUGUAAACCGCUUUCGCCUGUGACGAAGCGUGAGUGACGGUAAUGGGUAAAGAAGCACCGGCUAACUACGU